CUUCUCAAGGAGCCGCAGGGAGCCGACUGCUGCUGGAGGAGAUGGAAGGUGCUGGCAGGGGCUGAGCUUGCUGAGUCCAGGA
This is a microRNA precursor of Echinops telfairi (small Madagascar hedgehog), 82 nucleotides long. Lineage: Eukaryota; Metazoa; Chordata; Mammalia; Afrosoricida; Tenrecidae. The record is from Ensembl.